UUUUUACGUGAGCUGAUUGUUUAACCUUAGUUCUAUAUAAACCUUUUCCUUAGGGCUGGAGGUUCUCUCUGUAGCUGUUCACAAUACCCCUCCUCUAGCUCUUUGUAUUCUCUCUGUUUUUCACCACUAUAGCUCUCUAGCUCUUUGUAUUCUCUCUGUUUUCACCACUAUAGCUCUCUAGCUCUUUGUGUUCUCACUGUCUUUCACCACUAUGGCUCUCUAGCUCUUUGUAUUCUCUCUGUUUUUCACCACUGUAGCUCUCUAACUCUUUGUAUUCUCUCUGUUUUUCACCACUAUAGCUCUCUAGCUCUUUGUGUUCUCACUGUCUUUCACCACUAUGGCUCUCUAGCUCUUUGUAUUCUCUCUGUUUUUCACCACUGUAGCUCUCUAGCUCUUUGUAUUCUCUCUGUUUUUCACCACUAUAGCUCUCUAGCUCUUUGUAUUCUCUCUGUUUUUCACCACUAUAGCUCUCUAGCUCUUUGUAUUCUCUCUCUGUUUUUCGCCACUAUAGCUCUCUAGCUCUUUGUAUUCUCUCUGUUUUUCACCACUAUAGCUCUCUAGCUCUUUGUAUUCUCUCUGUUUUUCACCACUAUAGCUCUCUCUCUCUCUGUUUUGAGCUCUCUUCCUCUCGCUGUUUGUAUUCUCUCUGUUUCUCACUACUGUAGCUCUCUCUCUCUGUUUUGACCCCUCUUCCUGUAGCUGUUUGUAUUCUCUCUGUUCUUCACCACUAUAGCUCUCUUUGUGUUUUGAUCUGUUGUUCUCGUCCGUGCGAUUUCUGAGGACGCAUAACACUACACUCUUUUUACACCAAUCUCCAUUUCUGAGAAGGCAUUAACUGUACAUUCUUCGCCUCCUACAUGUGAUCGGUUGUCCCAUCCAUUAGCCUUCAUCUUUUCUGGUAAAUAAAUAUCACAUCUUCCCAACCUUUGAAUUGCAAAUGAAAACAUGAAUCCCAAGGCAUUUAAAUGGUGAAAUAGGGAACGCUGAAGUUUGAUCAGUUAGUGAAAACUCCAGAGUCUCUGAACUACGACUGCCUGGAGCACACGGACUGGGCUUGCUGCUGAGUCGCAAACCAAACACAUGAAAACCGGCCGAGUGUGGCUGGGACAGGUAGCAUAGUCAUGGGUACUGUUACAUUCAUUUUCUUCACGCUUUCGACAGUCAUUGAUGAGAGACUUCAGAGAACUGAAUUAAAUCGAACAAUGAUCACAGGAAGGCAAGAUGGAAGCAUCCCACCAAAUAAUCAGCUAAGGGUGGUGAUCUCCAUUAGGGGUGGGAUCUAUAGGGUAACUCUUUUGCUCUUGAGUACCAUUGAUGAGAAACUUUGCACAACGAUCACUGUUAGACAAGACGGUGAAUCGGCAAAUUUCACGACGAUCAUGGGAGCCAUAGGACGCAUACCACCUAAUAAUACACAAAGUUGGUGGUGGAGGAGAUCACGAGUGGUACUUAUAGGACUGUAAUGCAGAAUAUGUGUGUUGGGGACCUGGUGCCAACACCACAAAAGAGUGCCUCUGUCGCACAAACUGACGGAGGCUGAAGCCAAUAAAUUCCGAGGAAAGGACUAUAUUAAAGGAUUCAUUUAGGAUUGAAAGAUGGAACGAGCAAAAGACAAAUAGAAGAUUUUGAGGACCUAUUUGAGGUGUUUAUGAUAAUGAAAUGGGAUGCAAUAUUUUUCUUUCAGAUUACUUAGAGACUGAAAGGGGACAGAUUUAUUUAGUCCACUGACUGGGUGAUACUUCUCAUCAAGAAUUUGUUUUAAUAAAAAUUCCAGAAGGCUUCUUUGAAUGGAUGGAAGCCCUGAAGGUGCUUGAUCUCAGCUGCAUCGGCAUAUGUUCGCUGCCACUUGAAGGAUCUAUGUCACCUGCAUUGGCAUAUGUUCACUGCCACUUGAAGGAUCUCUGUCACCUUCUUCUAUCUCAUCGUGUAAUUCUAGUGGACUUUGCCUCUAGGACCACUUAAGCAACUCCAAGUGCUGAAUUUUUAUUGCACCAGAAUCAAAAGAUUUCUUGAGGAGAUGGUAGAAUUGGUCAAGCUAUACCAUUUAAACUUGGGAUUGACUCGUGAUCGUCAGUAGAAUAUGGGGUGGUAUCAAGGCUAGUUUGUUUGGAGGAGCUCAAUGUUUUGGAUUGUGGAUGCAUGGAUUGGAAAGUUGUGAGGAGAGGGAGGUAGCACAGAAGCCAGCAGGAGGAAUUGGAGCGCCAGGGCAACUUGAGCUCAAUAAUCACACCCAUUAGCAAUAACCACAUUUUCAACAAAAAACCCAAUGAUGCAGGGAUAUUUCAGCAGCUAAGAGAACUAGGAGUAGAAGGUUGCGAAGACUUGUUCAGUCUCAAGCAACUAUCCUACAUGAAAAUGUUGAAUAUUUUGGAAAUUGUGGGAUGCUUAGAUUAGAAUGGGUUGCCCUUGAUGCUACGUCUAGCUUCUUGCUCGAGGAAUUGCCGGUGCUGAGGAGCAUUUGGAAGGGAUCGUGGCCAUCAUCUUCUUAAUCUCAAAAAAAUCGAUAUAUACAGAUGUGAUGUUUUCUAUAACUUGAAGUCACCCAUACCAGAAUCCAUUAUAUAGGGGCCUUAUUUUUGUUUGUUAGAAUUUACCCCUCAUCUCCAUUUUUGUUUUCUCUUGAUUUGACAUAUAUGUCUUUUAAUUUUUUUACAAUAGGGAAUAAUAUUCAUUUCCAAACU
Amborella trichopoda is the source of this 2681-nucleotide non-coding RNA. NCBI's taxonomy places the organism in Eukaryota, Viridiplantae, Streptophyta, Magnoliopsida, Amborellales, Amborellaceae. The record is from RefSeq and is a predicted model, not a curated record.